UACGGGGGGGGUAAGCGUUGUUCGGAAUUACUGGGCGUAAAGGGCUCGUAGGCGGCCAACUAAGUCAUACGUGAAAUCCCUCAGCUUAACUGGGGAACUGCGUGUGAUACUGGAUGGCUUGGAUUUGGGAGAGGGAUGCGGAAUUCCAGGUGUAGCGGUGAAAUGCGUAGAUAUCUGGAGGAACACCGGUGGCGAAGGCGGCGUUCUGGACUGCAACUGACACUGAGAAACGAAAGCCAGGGGAGCAAACGGG
RNAcentral lists this ribosomal RNA (253 nucleotides) under uncultured bacterium. RNAcentral describes it as "partial 16S ribosomal RNA". It matches the Rfam family "Bacterial small subunit ribosomal RNA", at positions 524 to 776 of the family's 1533-position model. The record is from RNAcentral.